GGCUCAAUAGAUUAGGAAAUCUUGUAGAGUCUGCAAUAAGCUAAAGACUUGGGUUCGAUUCCCAGUGGGGGCA
RNAcentral lists this transfer RNA (73 nucleotides) under archaeon ADurb.Bin336. RNAcentral's name for it is "tRNA-Cys". The record is from RNAcentral.